RNAcentral lists this non-coding RNA (148 nucleotides) under Nomascus leucogenys (northern white-cheeked gibbon). The record is from Rfam by way of RNAcentral. Lineage: Eukaryota; Metazoa; Chordata; Mammalia; Primates; Hylobatidae.
GCCGGGCGUGGUGGCGGGUGCCUGUAAUCCUAGCUACUCGGGAGGCUGAGGCAGGAGAAUCGCUUGAACCUGGGAGGCGCAGGUGGCAGUGAGCCGAGAUGGCGCCACUGCACACCAGCCCAGGUGACAGUGCGAGACUCCGUCUCAA